Molecule: ribosomal RNA, 160 nt
Filed under: uncultured bacterium
Lineage: Bacteria
Description: partial 16S ribosomal RNA
Rfam family: Bacterial small subunit ribosomal RNA
Source: RNAcentral
CUCCUACGGGAGGCAGCAGUAGGGAAUCUUAGACAAGGGGGGCAACCCUGAUCUAGCCAUGCCGCGUGGGUGAUGAAGGCCCUAGGGUCGUAAACCACUUUCGCCCGAGAUGAUAAUGACCGUAUGUGGUAAAGAAACCCCGCAUAAUUCCGCCCAGCAG